AGGUUGGGGUCCAGGCGAUGACGGGUAGCCGGCCUGAGAGGGUGAUCGGCCACACUGGGACUGAGACACGGCCCAGACUCCUACGGGAGGCAGCAGUGGGGAAUUUUGCGCAAUGGGCGGAGGCCUGACGCAGCGACGCCGUGUGGGGGAGGACGGCCUUCGGGUUGUAAACCUCUUUCGGCCCUGACGAAUGUGACGGUAGGGGCUAAAGAAGCGCCGGCUAACUACGUGCCAGCAGCCGCGGUAAUACGUAGGGCGCGAGCGUUGUCCGGAUUUACUGGGCGUAAAGGGCUCGUAAGCGGUUUGUCGCGUCGGUCGUGGAAAUGUCUGGCUUAACUGGGCACGUGCGGCUGAUACGGGCAGACUCGAGGGCGGUAGGGGCAAGCGGAAUUCCUGGUGUGGCGGUGAAAUGCGCAGAUAUCAGGAGGAACACCGAUGGCGAAGGCAGCUUGCUGGGCCGUUCCUGACGCUGAGGAGCGAAAGCGUGGGUAGCGAACAGGAUUAGAUACCCUGGUAGUCCAUGCUGUAAACGUUGGGCGCUAGGUGUGGGGACCAUUCUUGGUGUCCGUGCCGUAGCUAACGCAUUAAGCGCCCCGCCUGGGGAGUACGG
RNAcentral lists this ribosomal RNA (610 nucleotides) under uncultured Bacillus sp. RNAcentral's name for it is "bacterial SSU rRNA". It matches the Rfam family "Bacterial small subunit ribosomal RNA", at positions 259 to 885 of the family's 1533-position model. The record is from RNAcentral. Lineage: Bacteria; Bacillati; Bacillota; Bacilli; Caryophanales; Bacillaceae.